UACGUAGGCGGAAAAUUAAGUCAGUAGUGAAAUCCUGCAGCUUAACUGUAGAACUGUUAUUGAUACUGGUUUUCUUGAAUAUAGUUGAGGUAGGCGGAAUGUGUAAUGUAGCGGUGAAAUGCUUAGAUAUUACACAGAACACCGAUUGCGAAGGCAGCCUACUAAGCUAUGAUUGACGCUGAGGUACGAAAGCGUGGGGAGCGAACAGGAUUAGAUACCCUGGUAGUCC
This 229-nucleotide ribosomal RNA is filed under the name uncultured bacterium. RNAcentral's name for it is "partial 16S ribosomal RNA". It matches the Rfam family "Bacterial small subunit ribosomal RNA", at positions 568 to 796 of the family's 1533-position model. The record is from RNAcentral.